GAGGGCAUAACUCAGUGGUAGAGUGUGUGCUUAGCAUGCACAAGGUCCUGAGUUCAGUCUCCAGUACCUCCA
RNAcentral lists this transfer RNA (72 nucleotides) under Camelus bactrianus (Bactrian camel). It matches the Rfam family "tRNA". From Rfam's summary of the family: Transfer RNA (tRNA) molecules are approximately 80 nucleotides in length. Their secondary structure includes four short double-helical elements and three loops (D, anti-codon, and T loops). RNAcentral also lists the same sequence under 2 other names. The record is from Rfam by way of RNAcentral. Lineage: Eukaryota; Metazoa; Chordata; Mammalia; Artiodactyla; Camelidae.